UACGGAGGGGGCGAGCGUUAUUCGGAAUUAUUGGGCGUAAAGGGCGCGUAGGCGGCCUGGCAAGUCAAAGGUGAAAUCCCUCGGCUCAACUGAGGAACUGCCUUUGAAACUGCCAGGCUUGAGGCCGGGAGGGGGUAGCGGAAUUCCCAGUGUAGCGGUGAAAUGCGUAGAUAUUGGGAGGAACACCAGUGGCGAAGGCGGCUACCUGGACCGGUUCUGACGCUGAUGCGCGAAAGCGUGGGGAGCAAACAGG
RNAcentral lists this ribosomal RNA (253 nucleotides) under uncultured bacterium. RNAcentral describes it as "partial 16S ribosomal RNA". It matches the Rfam family "Bacterial small subunit ribosomal RNA", at positions 524 to 776 of the family's 1533-position model. The record is from RNAcentral.